GUACGGCGAGUGAGCGGUAAAAGCUCAAAUUUGAAAUCUGGUACUUUCAGUGCCCGAGUUGUAAUUUGUAGAAUUUGUCUUUGAUUAGGUCCUUGUCUAUGUUCCUUGGAACAGGACGUCAUGAGGGUGAGAAUCCCGUUUGGCGAGGAUACCUUUUCUCUGUAAGACUUUUUCGAAGAGUCGAGUUGUUUGGGAAUGCAGCUCAAAGUGGGUGGUAAAUUCCAUCUAAAGCUAAAUAUUGGCGAGAGACCGAUAGCGAACAAGUACAGUGAUGGAAAGAUGAAAAGAACUUUGAAAAGAGAGUGAAAAAGUACGUGAAAUUGUUGAAAGGGAAGGGCAUUUGAUCAGACAUGGUGUUUUUUGCAUGCACUCGCCUCUCGUGGGCUUGGGCCUCUCAAAAAUUUCACUGGGCCAACAUCAAUUCUGGCAGUAGGAUAAAUCAUUAAGAAUGUAGCUACCUCGGUAGUGUUAUAGCUUAUUGGAAUACUGCUAGCUGGGAUUGAGGACUGCGCUUCGGCAAGGAUGUUGGCAUAAUGGUUAAAUG
This 544-nucleotide ribosomal RNA is filed under the name Hanseniaspora opuntiae. Its description in RNAcentral is "eukaryotic LSU rRNA". It matches the Rfam family "Eukaryotic large subunit ribosomal RNA", at positions 83 to 644 of the family's 3401-position model. Lineage: Eukaryota; Fungi; Ascomycota; Saccharomycetes; Saccharomycodales; Saccharomycodaceae. The record is from RNAcentral.